RNAcentral lists this ribosomal RNA (136 nucleotides) under uncultured eukaryote. Its description in RNAcentral is "partial 18S ribosomal RNA". It matches the Rfam family "Eukaryotic small subunit ribosomal RNA", at positions 1299 to 1458 of the family's 1831-position model. The record is from RNAcentral.
UGGUGGAGUGAUUUGUCUGGUUAAUUCCGUUAACGAACGAGACCUUAACCGGCUAAAUAGUCACACGAUUCUCGAAUUGUGACUGACUUCUUAGAGGGACUGUUGAUGUUUAAUCAAAGUCAGGAAGGCAAUAACA